Molecule: ribosomal RNA, 2903 nt
Filed under: Klebsiella quasipneumoniae
Lineage: Bacteria; Pseudomonadati; Pseudomonadota; Gammaproteobacteria; Enterobacterales; Enterobacteriaceae
Description: 23S ribosomal RNA
Rfam family: Bacterial large subunit ribosomal RNA
Source: RNAcentral
GGUUAAGCGACUAAGCGUACACGGUGGAUGCCCUGGCAGUCAGAGGCGAUGAAGGACGUGCUAAUCUGCGAAAAGCGUCGGUAAGGUGAUAUGAACCGUUAUAGCCGGCGAUGUCCGAAUGGGGAAACCCAGUGUGAUUCGUCACACUAUCGUUAACUGAAUACAUAGGUUAACGAGGCGAACCGGGGGAACUGAAACAUCUAAGUACCCCGAGGAAAAGAAAUCAACCGAGAUUCCCCCAGUAGCGGCGAGCGAACGGGGAGCAGCCCAGAGUCUGAAUCAGCUUGUGUGUUAGUGGAACGGUCUGGAAAGUCCGACGGUACAGGGUGAUAGUCCCGUACACCAAAAUGCACAGGCUGUGAACUCGAAGAGUAGGGCGGGACACGUGGUAUCCUGUCUGAAUAUGGGGGGACCAUCCUCCAAGGCUAAAUACUCCUGACUGACCGAUAGUGAACCAGUACCGUGAGGGAAAGGCGAAAAGAACCCCGGCGAGGGGAGUGAAAAAGAACCUGAAACCGUGUACGUACAAGCAGUGGGAGCACCUUUAUGGUGUGACUGCGUACCUUUUGUAUAAUGGGUCAGCGACUUAUAUUCUGUAGCAAGGUUAACCGUAUAGGGGAGCCGCAGGGAAACCGAGUCUUAACUGGGCGUUAAGUUGCAGGGUAUAGACCCGAAACCCGGUGAUCUAGCCAUGGGCAGGUUGAAGGUUGGGUAACACUAACUGGAGGACCGAACCGACUAAUGUUGAAAAAUUAGCGGAUGACUUGUGGCUGGGGGUGAAAGGCCAAUCAAACCGGGAGAUAGCUGGUUCUCCCCGAAAGCUAUUUAGGUAGCGCCUCGUGAACUCAUCUUCGGGGGUAGAGCACUGUUUCGGCUAGGGGGUCAUCCCGACUUACCAACCCGAUGCAAACUACGAAUACCGAAGAAUGUUAUCACGGGAGACACACGGCGGGUGCUAACGUCCGUCGUGAAGAGGGAAACAACCCAGACCGCCAGCUAAGGUCCCAAAGUCAUGGUUAAGUGGGAAACGAUGUGGGAAGGCACAGACAGCCAGGAUGUUGGCUUAGAAGCAGCCAUCAUUUAAAGAAAGCGUAAUAGCUCACUGGUCGAGUCGGCCUGCGCGGAAGAUGUAACGGGGCUAAACCAUGCACCGAAGCUGCGGCAGCGACACUAUGUGUUGUUGGGUAGGGGAGCGUUCUGUAAGCCUGCGAAGGUGGCCUGUGAGGGUUGCUGGAGGUAUCAGAAGUGCGAAUGCUGACAUAAGUAACGAUAAAGCGGGUGAAAAGCCCGCUCGCCGGAAGACCAAGGGUUCCUGUCCAACGUUAAUCGGGGCAGGGUGAGUCGACCCCUAAGGCGAGGCCGAAAGGCGUAGUCGAUGGGAAACAGGUUAAUAUUCCUGUACUUGGUGUUACUGCGAAGGGGGGACGGAGAAGGCUAUGUUAGCCGGGCGACGGUUGUCCCGGUUUAAGCAUGUAGGCUGGUUAUCCAGGCAAAUCCGGAUAAUCAAGGCUGAGGUGUGAUGACGAAGCACUACGGUGCUGAAGUAACAAAUGCCCUGCUUCCAGGAAAAGCCUCUAAGCAUCAGGUAACACGAAAUCGUACCCCAAACCGACACAGGUGGUCAGGUAGAGAAUACCAAGGCGCUUGAGAGAACUCGGGUGAAGGAACUAGGCAAAAUGGUGCCGUAACUUCGGGAGAAGGCACGCUGGUGUGUAGGUGAAGCCCCUGCGGGUGGAGCUGAGACCAGUCGAAGAUACCAGCUGGCUGCAACUGUUUAUUAAAAACACAGCACUGUGCAAACACGAAAGUGGACGUAUACGGUGUGACGCCUGCCCGGUGCCGGAAGGUUAAUUGAUGGGGUUAUCCGUAAGGAGAAGCUCUUGAUCGAAGCCCCGGUAAACGGCGGCCGUAACUAUAACGGUCCUAAGGUAGCGAAAUUCCUUGUCGGGUAAGUUCCGACCUGCACGAAUGGCGUAAUGAUGGCCAGGCUGUCUCCACCCGAGACUCAGUGAAAUUGAACUCGCUGUGAAGAUGCAGUGUACCCGCGGCAAGACGGAAAGACCCCGUGAACCUUUACUAUAGCUUGACACUGAACAUUGAGCCUUGAUGUGUAGGAUAGGUGGGAGGCUUUGAAGCGUGGACGCCAGUCUGCGUGGAGCCAACCUUGAAAUACCACCCUUUAAUGUUUGAUGUUCUAACGUUGGCCCCUUACCGGGGUUGCGGACAGUGUCUGGUGGGUAGUUUGACUGGGGCGGUCUCCUCCCAAAGCGUAACGGAGGAGCACGAAGGUUAGCUAAUCCUGGUCGGACAUCAGGAGGUUAGUGCAAUGGCAUAAGCUAGCUUGACUGCGAGCGUGACGGCGCGAGCAGGUGCGAAAGCAGGUCAUAGUGAUCCGGUGGUUCUGAAUGGAAGGGCCAUCGCUCAACGGAUAAAAGGUACUCCGGGGAUAACAGGCUGAUACCGCCCAAGAGUUCAUAUCGACGGCGGUGUUUGGCACCUCGAUGUCGGCUCAUCACAUCCUGGGGCUGAAGUAGGUCCCAAGGGUAUGGCUGUUCGCCAUUUAAAGUGGUACGCGAGCUGGGUUUAGAACGUCGUGAGACAGUUCGGUCCCUAUCUGCCGUGGGCGCUGGAGAAUUGAGGGGGGCUGCUCCUAGUACGAGAGGACCGGAGUGGACGCAUCACUGGUGUUCGGGUUGUCAUGCCAAUGGCACUGCCCGGUAGCUAAAUGCGGAAGAGAUAAGUGCUGAAAGCAUCUAAGCACGAAACUUGCCCCGAGAUGAGUUCUCCCUGAGACUUUAAGUCUCCUGAAGGAACGUUAAAGACGAUGACGUUGAUAGGCCGGGUGUGUAAGCGCAGCGAUGCGUUGAGCUAACCGGUACUAAUGAACCGUGAGGCUUAACCUU